Camellia sinensis is the source of this 495-nucleotide non-coding RNA. The record is from RefSeq and is a predicted model, not a curated record. Lineage: Eukaryota; Viridiplantae; Streptophyta; Magnoliopsida; Ericales; Theaceae.
UUUUUCGGUUGUAAAUGUGUUUUUGUCCCUUCAAAGUCGAAAUCAUAGAUCCGUCCAUGGAAGAACCACCAAUAGUAACAUGUGGAUGUGAGCUUGGAAUAUCGAGCGAAAAUUGGAGCAUGGCAGAUCAUACCAUAACCAUCUCCAACUUAGGAAUGGGGGGACGUUCAAACAAGGAUAAGGAGGUUUGUCCUCCACAGUUGCCAGAUCUCAUUCCUGAAGGGCCAGUGUUAUUACCACAUGAAAGCCUCGGAAUCUCUCCAAAUGAAUUUCUUAAAGUCGAAGACAUGGAUACCGCGGUGUCGUGAGCACUAGAGCUUAAAUUCCCAUGGGAAAAUUGGAGAAUGGGGCAUCGUACCCGAACCAACUCCGACUUCGGUAUGGCUUCGUUUGACUCUCUUCCCUCACGUGUUCCAGACUUAAAAGGCUGAUGAUAGAACUUUCGAAGCAAAAAUAUAAAAAUAAAUUACAUUAGUAAUACCUAUAUUUUGACCA